Long non-coding RNA from Etheostoma spectabile (orangethroat darter), 89 nucleotides. RefSeq lists it as uncharacterized. The transcript is spliced from 3 exons. NCBI's taxonomy places the organism in Eukaryota, Metazoa, Chordata, Actinopteri, Perciformes, Percidae. The record is from RefSeq and is a predicted model, not a curated record.
CACACAAGCACUCACCUAGCUGAGAAGUUACAGGAGGUCGUGGCAGAGUGGAAACUAGAAAGGUAUGCCUGUUGCACUUUAUAACCCUU